ACAAAACCAAAAUUGUAGUAUACUAGUAUCCCUACACUUAGUAUAUAUAUAUAAGUGUGUGUGUGAGGGUACGUGUGUGUGUGUGUGUGAGUGCACAUGUGUGAGUAUGUGUAAUGCCAUGUGGCAUCACCUCCCCCCCCUCUUUUAUGCAUGCAGGGAAGAGAGAGAGAGGAGUUUAUCUCCUCUCUUCUCUCCUUUUCUCUUUCGUUCGGCCGUACCAAGGAAGCACGCGAGGGACGCCGCCGCGGAGCCGAUUUCGCCGUCGACGUCGCACCGCAGAGCCGUUCGAACCUACGGUUGCUGCCGUUGCAUCGUGAGGAGGCCGGGCGAGCGUGGAUCUUCGCCGUUCUUGACGUCGCGCCAGUGCUAGUCGCCGUCGAGAUUUCCAGCGUCGACCGUUGGCGUUUCGGCUCGUACUCGACGUAGGAGCGUCGGAUUUCGACGAGGCUUGAUUCGCUGGAUUCAGGACUUCGAGAGGAAUCCACGAAGCCCUUACUUGCCAGAUUUCGUUGAGAGCGUGGUGUUAGCUCGACUCCCGGAUUUGGAGGGUGUAGAUCGACCAGCAGGUGGUGCUGCAGCUGUGAGGGUGUACCGCUGCCAGGGGAUUAGCAUUUUAGGUGGGUUACAUCGGUUUUACUCCUAAGUAUUAUUAGUCAACAUGUAUAAAUCGUGAUUUCUACAAUAGUUUAGCUCAAAUUCAUGGAUUAUUAUUAGAAUGCAAAAUCUGAAUUUGCGAGCAUAUUUUAUUAAGUAAUUAGAUUAUACAUGUUGGACUU
Molecule: long non-coding RNA, 776 nt
Organism: Ananas comosus (pineapple)
Lineage: Eukaryota; Viridiplantae; Streptophyta; Magnoliopsida; Poales; Bromeliaceae
Exons: 3
Source: RefSeq, a predicted model, not a curated record